CCAAUAGCGUAUAUUAAAGUUGUUGCAGUUAAAAAGCUCGUAGUUGAAUUUCGGGAUUGGCGCAUCGGUCGUGCCUCACGGGGUAUGAACUGGUGCAGUCAAUUUCUCACCUUCUGGAGAACCGCGAUGUCCUUAAUUGGAUGCCGCGGGGAACCAGGACCUUUACUUUGAAAAAAUUAGAGUGUUUAAAGCAGGCAUUUUUGCUUGAAUACAUUAGCAUGGAAUAAUAAAAUAGGACGGCAUGGUUCUAUUUUGUUGGUUUCUAGGACCACCGUAAUGAU
RNAcentral lists this ribosomal RNA (281 nucleotides) under uncultured Entrophospora. RNAcentral's name for it is "uncultured Claroideoglomus partial 18S small subunit ribosomal RNA". It matches the Rfam family "Eukaryotic small subunit ribosomal RNA", at positions 591 to 869 of the family's 1831-position model. Lineage: Eukaryota; Fungi; Glomeromycota; Glomeromycetes; Entrophosporales; Entrophosporaceae. The record is from RNAcentral.